GAUGAACGCUGGCGGCGUGCCUAAUACAUGCAAGUCGAGCGAACAGACGAGGAGCUUGCUCCUCUGACGUUAGCGGCGGACGGGUGAGUAACACGUGGAUAACCUACCUAUAAGACUGGGAUAACUUCGGGAAACCGGAGCUAAUACCGGAUCAUAUAUUGAACCGCAUGGUUCAAUAGUGAAAGACGGUUUUGCUGUCACUUAUAGAUGUAUCCGCGCCGCAUUAGCUAGUUGGUAAGGUAACGGCUUACCAAGGCAACGAUGCGUAGCCGACCUGAGAGGGUGAUCGGCCACACUGGAACUGAGACACGGUCCAGACUCCUACGGGAGGCAGCAGUAGGGAAUCUUCCGCAAUGGGCGAAAGCCUGACGGAGCAACGCCGCGUGAGUGAUGAAGGUCUUCGGAUCGUAAAACUCUGUUAUUAGGGAAGAACAAAUGUGUAAGUAACUAUGCACGUCUUGACGGUACCUAAUCAGAAAGCCACGGCUAACUACGUG
Molecule: ribosomal RNA, 497 nt
Filed under: uncultured bacterium
Lineage: Bacteria
Description: partial 16S ribosomal RNA
Rfam family: Bacterial small subunit ribosomal RNA
Source: RNAcentral